RNAcentral lists this transfer RNA (88 nucleotides) under Colletotrichum zoysiae. RNAcentral's name for it is "tRNA-Tyr". It matches the Rfam family "tRNA". From Rfam's summary of the family: Transfer RNA (tRNA) molecules are approximately 80 nucleotides in length. Their secondary structure includes four short double-helical elements and three loops (D, anti-codon, and T loops). Further hydrogen bonds mediate the characteristic L-shaped molecular structure. tRNAs have two regions of fundamental functional importance: the anti-codon, which is responsible for specific mRNA codon recognition, and the 3' end, to which the tRNAs corresponding amino acid is attached (by aminoacyl-tRNA synthetases). tRNAs cope with the degeneracy of the genetic code in two manners: having more than one tRNA (with a specific anti-codon) for a particular amino acid; and 'wobble' base-pairing, i.e. permitting non-standard base-pairing at the 3rd anti-codon position. The record is from RNAcentral. Lineage: Eukaryota; Fungi; Ascomycota; Sordariomycetes; Glomerellales; Glomerellaceae.
CUCCCCUUGGUGUAGUUGGUUCAUCACGUUCGACUGUAAUAGGUUCAUUGUCAUCGAAAGGUCUCUAGUUCGAUUCUGGAAGGGGAGA